AGGGGGUGAACCGUAGUUUAUAGAAUGAGACAGAGUAGAGGGGGAGAACUGUAGUUUAUAGAAUGAGACAGAGAGAAGAGGGGGUGAACCGUAGCAUAUAGAAUGAGACAGAGAAGAGGGGGUAAACCGUAGUAUAUAGAAUGAGACAGAGAGAAGAGGGGGUGAACCGUAGUUUAUAGAAUGAGACAGAGAGUAGAGGGGGUGAACCGUAGUAUAUAGAAUGAGACAGAGAGAAGAGGGGGUGAACAGUAGUUUAUAGAAUGAGACAGAGAGAAGAGGGGGUGAACCGUAGUUUAUAGAAUGAGACAGAGUAGAGGGGGUGAACCGUAGUAUAUAGAAUGAGACAGAGAGAAGAGGGGGUGAACCGUAGUUUAUAGAAUGAGACAGAGAGAAGAGGGUGAACCGUAGUAUAUAGAAUGAGACAGAGAGUAGAGGGGGUGAACUGUAGUAUAUAGAAUUAGACAGAGAGAAGAGGGGGUGAACCGUAGAAUAUAGAAUGAGACAGAGUAGAGGGGGUGAACCGUAGUAUAUAGAAUGAGACAGAGAGAAGACGGGGUGAACCGUAGUAUAUAGAAUGAGACAGAGAGAAGAGAGGGUGAACCGUAGUAUAUAGAAUGAGACAGAGUAGAGGGGGUGAACCGUAGUAUAUAGAAUGAGACAGAGUAGAGGGGGUGAACCGUAGUAUAUAGAAUGAGACAGAGUAGAGGGGGUGAACUGUAGUAUAUAGAAUGAGACAGAGUAGAGGGGGAAAACUGUAAUUUAUAGAAUGAGACAGAGAGAAGAGGGGGUGAACCGUAGUAUAAAGAAUGAAACAGAGUAGAGGGGGAGAACCGUAGUAUAUAGAAUGAGACAGAGUAGAGGGGGUGAACCGUAGUAUAUAGAAUGAGACAGAGAAGAGGGGGUGAACCGUAGUUUAUAGAAUGAGACAGAGAGAAGAGGGGGUGAACCGUAGUUUAUAGAAUGAGACAGAGAGAGGAGGGGGUGAACCGUAGUUUAUAGAAUGAGACAGAGAAGAGGGGGUGAACCGUAGUAUAUAGAAUGAGACAGAGUAGAAGGGGUGAACAGUAGUAUUUUGAAUGAGACAGAGUAGAGGGGGUGACCGUAGUAUAUAGAAUGAGACAGAGUAGAGGGGGUGAACUGUAGUAAAUACAGUCACCGAGGCGAGGUAACUGAAAAAGAGAUGAAAAGGAAGAGGAUUGGUUUGAGGGGGAAUGUAGCCGUGAUAGAGAGAUUUGAUAGUGAAUUAUUAAUGCGAUUGGGAUGAAGACUAAGAUUGGGAAUGGUAUUGAGAUCUGUGUUGCGGUGGUGGUGACGGAAUGCUGCGGAUUACAGCUGGG
RNAcentral lists this long non-coding RNA (1337 nucleotides) under Salmo salar (Atlantic salmon). Its description in RNAcentral is "lncRNA (ENSSSAG00000111508.1)". Lineage: Eukaryota; Metazoa; Chordata; Actinopteri; Salmoniformes; Salmonidae. The record is from RNAcentral.